RNAcentral lists this long non-coding RNA (1275 nucleotides) under Coffea arabica (coffee). Its description in RNAcentral is "long non-coding RNA (CARA_LNC003975)". The record is from RNAcentral. Lineage: Eukaryota; Viridiplantae; Streptophyta; Magnoliopsida; Gentianales; Rubiaceae.
GUCCAUUGCCACUUUGUCUAGAUACUUUCUUAGCACUAAUUUGAACCCAAUAACUUAGGAAAUAAAUCUCUAAUCAAAUGGUUACAUCUGUAACUCAUACCUUUACACUGCCUGAACAUAUGCUACUUUUCAGGAAAGACAGCUUUAAGUCUCACAGGUGAUGACACAUGAAAUAUACAAAUAUAAACAAGGUAAGAAAGAAACAAGAAACUAAAUUCUGGAUCUUGGGCACUCAACCUGUAAAAUUUCAAUUCAAAGCGACUGGCAGUAGAAGUUUCAGCCCAACAAAAUAAUUAACUAUUUAAGCCCCAAAAAGCAAAAAGAAUAAAGCAAUACUAAUGUAUCCGCUACCAUCAAAGUUUUCUCUCUAUCAAUCAUAUCUGAAGAAUUGAAGAGACACUGAUAGGAGAACUGAAUAAGACUUCUUCUGAAAAAACAGAAUAAUAAAAGAAAUUAUGCAGGAGUCGAGAGAAAACUUCUGUAUUCAUAGCAAACUAUUUAGGAGCCCUGCUGCAACCUUGACAGCACAUAGAAUAAAGAAAAAAUUGGCAGUUGCCUUUCACAAUCUUAUGGGUUAGUUUAGCCACCUGAAAAGAAAAAAAAAAAUCUUAUGGUCUAGUUUGGAUGAUUGAAUUAUUAGUAAUUGUAAUACUACCUUUUACUUCAUAUUCUUGGAAUAAGAAGUAUCUACCGGAGAUGAAUAUAAUGACUCCUUUAUUCCUAAGUUACAUAUAGCUUUACUAAAACCAUGUUAAGACAGCUCCGGUUAGGAUAUCCAAAGAUGUUUCAACAACUGUUUGAGAAACUAUUCACAACUCCGAAAACUACUAAUCCCCUAGCUCCUAAUUCCAAGAAGAAUGAUAUCACCUGAUCAGACUGUGAACCAAAUGAGCCCUAAAUAUUCAAGCUAAUAUCAAUGUUUUCCUCAAUAAGAUAUCCCCAGUGUUGGCAAGAUGACAGGAAGUUAGCCGUCAAGAAAAGGAGUUCAAAAGGUAUUGAAGUAUUUGACAUGAUAAAGAGUAUUGCUUUCAUCUAAUCAAGAAUCACUGGAAAAAGACUGCAAAGGGAAAAAGAAAAGACCACAUGAAGAAGACUAAAUAAUGAAGAAAAAGGACCUAUGUUGGACAGAACAAAUAUGCAACACAUACUAACGACCAAAUAACUCAACUAGAAAAAAUAACAAAAAGCUCAUCAAUGGAAGCAUUAUACUCUACCUUGAAUACUGAGAUGAAGGAAAAGCUCCCGAUCAAAGAUGGCUUCUUGACAGGUGGCCUU